AGUCGAACGAGCACGAUUUCCUUCGGGAUGAUGUGCUGAGUGGCGGACGGGUGAGUAACGCGUGGGUACCUGCCUUGUACAGGGGGAUAACAGUUGGAAACGGCUGCUAAUACCGCAUAAGAUCGCAUGAUAAAAACUCCGGUGGUAUAAGAUGGACCCGCGUUGGAUUAGCUAGUUGGUGAGGUAACGGCCCACCAAGGCGACGAUCCAUAGCCGACCUGAGAGGGUGACCGGCCACAUUGGGACUGAGACACGGCCCAAACUCCUACGGGAGGCAGCAGUGGGGAAUAUUGCACAAUGGGCGAAAGCCUGAUGCAGCGACGCCGCGUGAGCGAAGAAGUAUUUCGGUAUGUAAAGCUCUAUCAGCAGGGAAGAUAAUGACGGUACCUGACUAAGAAGCACCGGCUAAAUACGUGCCAGCAGCCGCGGUAAUACGUAUGGUGCAAGCGUUAUCCGGAUUUACUGGGUGUAAAGGGAGCGC
This 481-nucleotide ribosomal RNA is filed under the name uncultured bacterium. RNAcentral describes it as "bacterial SSU rRNA". It matches the Rfam family "Bacterial small subunit ribosomal RNA", at positions 60 to 572 of the family's 1533-position model. The record is from RNAcentral.